GAUGAACGCUGGCGGCGUGCCUAAUACAUGCAAGUCGAGCGAACAGAUAAGGAGCUUGCUCCUUUGACGUUAGCGGCGGACGGGUGAGUAACACGUGGGUAACCUACCUAUAAGACUGGGAUAACUUCGGGAAACCGGAGCUAAUACCGGAUAACAUUGGGAACCGCAUGGUUCUAAAGUGAAAGAUGGUUUUGCUAUCACUUAUAGAUGGACCCGCGCCGUAUUAGCUAGUUGGUAAGGUAACGGCUUACCAAGGCAACGAUACGUAGCCGACCUGAGAGGGUGAUCGGCCACACUGGAACUGAGACACGGUCCAGACUCCUACGGGAGGCAGCAGUAGGGAAUCUUCCGCAAUGGGCGCAAGCCUGACGGAGCAACGCCGCGUGCGUGAUGAAGGGUUUCGGCUCGUAAAACUCUGUUAUUAGGGAAGAACAAGCGUGUAAGUAACUGUGCACGUCUUGACGGUACCUAAUCAGAAAGCCACGGCUAACUACGUG
RNAcentral lists this ribosomal RNA (497 nucleotides) under uncultured bacterium. RNAcentral describes it as "partial 16S ribosomal RNA". It matches the Rfam family "Bacterial small subunit ribosomal RNA", at positions 28 to 507 of the family's 1533-position model. The record is from RNAcentral.